Long non-coding RNA from Passer domesticus (house sparrow), 1536 nucleotides. RefSeq lists it as uncharacterized. The record is from RefSeq and is a predicted model, not a curated record. Lineage: Eukaryota; Metazoa; Chordata; Aves; Passeriformes; Passeridae. The transcript has 3 exons.
UUUGCUACCUUCCUAUGCCUGUCUAAUCUCUGCUGCUAUCUUAGGUUUGGCUUUCAUUUCCCCUCCUAUCCAUCUCUAUUAACGUCACCAGCAUCCACCUGCAGCUAUGUCAAUGUUAGCUCUAGCAGCAGUGUGCUCAUUAGAGUAAACUACAAACUACCUGCUACACAGCCAAGGCCAGCUCUGCAAAAAAUGUUAAUCAGAAACACUUUAGGAGUCAUGGAUUUUAUCCCCUGGUUCAGGAAAAUGGAUCAGUGGCUGCCUCCUAAGUGACCCAUGACAAGACAGUUUGAUAAGUGUCAUCUCCUCACCUAAAUUUUGACCUUUCAUCUAAAGAUAGAGUUAAUAUGGUUAAGUGAAGUGAGGUCAGUGUGACAGUGCAACAGCAGGGGUUUCCACUUUCUUUUUUAAAUAAAUGCAAGGCUGAAAGUUUCUGCCUUCUUCUCCACAUGUCCUUCAGAACCACCAGUCUUGGAAUUUCCUGCAGGUUUUUUUCUCCCUCCUGUUGCCUUCCUCCCUCUAUACCCUCUGUUGCCUGACAACUCAGAGCUACUAUGUCCUUAUUUUGUCACAGCCCAGUCCUGACCUCUUGAAGAACAGAUCAUGAUAUUUGUGCUCUGUUUUUGAUGUUGGUCACUGAUACAGCCAAAGAGACAUGUUGUGCACAGCUGUGGUUGGUGAAGAACUUGUACACAUGCUGGUGUUUUGCAGUAGCAAACAGGCAAAGGAAUUGCAGCUAGUGCUUUGAUUGACAUGGCUAAACAGUGCUGAGAAGAGUCUGAGAAGAGGUGUGAUCGUCUGUGAAAUGCUACAAAGAUAAAAGAACAUGUCUCUAUUUCUAUGUUAGAGGAAAAGAAUGGUGAAAUGUAUCUCAGAUGAACACAGGUCGUAGAACAGCAAGCUGUAUGAAUAGAAAUGAGUGGAACAAGAAAUACCUGUCCAUGGCAGGAUUCUAAUGUGGGAUGUGAAAACUACUGAGAUGUGAGAACUCAGAAACCAAGAGGUUGGCUACGUGAAUAGACUGAAAGACUAUCCCUUAGGAAGCAGUCUGGAACACAUGGCAGAAAUGCAUGUUAGCUUUUGAUCAAUCUGAUAUAAAUCAAGUUGUGAAUGAACUUGCAUAUUCUUCUGCUAUGAAAAAAAUCCACUAUAUAAACUGAAGAUGGAUGUUUGGAUCCAGCUCCAUGAUCUGACAUGGCAGAGCUGCAGGAUCUCUGACAUGCAGUCUUCAGUUCACUGACUGCUCACAGACCAAGUCACUUUGGCUUGCUGUUUCUAGCUUGCCAAUGAAUUGUUGCACUGCCUCUUGCAUCAAAAACAGCCUGUGAGCAUACUCUAGGAAACCAGAUGCCUUCAGGUUACUUCCUUCCUAUCCUGGGAUGUGUGUCAGCUUCACGUGGUAUACUUUAACAUCUUGAACACCUGGGUGUAUUAAAAUCUGAGAUAAAUUUAAGAUUAAACUAGCAUCAACACUAUUCAUAUAUAUGUAUAUGUAUAUGUAUGUCUGAGUAUUUGUAAAUAUAUACAUACAUGUUG